CCCUUAGACGUUCUGGGCCGCACGCGCGCUACACUGAUGCAUUCAACGAGCCUAUCCUUGACCGACAGGUCCGGGUAAUCUUUGAAUCUGCAUCGUGACGGGGAUAGAUUAUUGCAAUUAUUAAUCUUCAACGAGGAAUGCCUAGUAGGCGCAAGUCAUCAGCUUGCGUCGAUUACGUCCCUGCCCUUUGUACACACCGCCCGUCGCUCCUACCGAUUGGGUGUGCUGGUGAAAUGUUCGGAUCGGCCGUUUGUCGCGGUUUCCGCGUCAUGUGGCUGAGAAGUUCAUUAAACCCUCCCACCUAGAGGAAGGAGAAGUCGUAACA
Molecule: ribosomal RNA, 325 nt
Filed under: uncultured eukaryote
Lineage: Eukaryota
Description: partial 18S ribosomal RNA
Rfam family: Eukaryotic small subunit ribosomal RNA
Source: RNAcentral